Molecule: long non-coding RNA, 1137 nt
Filed under: Meleagris gallopavo (turkey)
Lineage: Eukaryota; Metazoa; Chordata; Aves; Galliformes; Phasianidae
Description: lncRNA (ENSMGAG00000021249.1)
Source: RNAcentral
UUGAGACACUGUGAUACAUUAGGAUAUAACUCGUGAAAUUCAGGACUUCUCAAGUGCAGAGGGUUGGUAUAUAACACAGCAAGAUUUUAACUACACCCGAGCCAAAUUUAUAGGAAAUUAAAAAGCUGUGAAACCUGGGAAACAGAUUUCAGUAAAAUAUUAACUUUUUCUUUUACUAACAGACUUUCGCAGAUAUUCUAGUGUGAAUUACUAAUGUGCUUGAAAUAUAUUUAAAAUAAAUACUUGACUGCAAUUUGUGCUUAGAAGUAACUAUUUGUUGUGCUGUACGUAAGUUGUAAGAAGCAGCUUUUUUAUUGUUAUUUCACCAGCCAAAGAAAUGAGGGGUGGAGGGGAAGAACAGUCUAGAAUCUAUCUAGAACUAGAGACACAAACCACAUUUCCCAUCCUAUCAAACACUCCCAGUAAAUUCCUGCAUACAUUGCUUAAUUUCCUUCACACUUCAGCUUGGCUCAGCAGCAUUCAUAUACCUCAUGAGCCAGCAAUGAAGAAAACUGCAGGAAAGGCUGUAGAGGACUUAUCUUUAUCAAUAUGGAUGUGAUAGAUAGGCUCCGUUUAGAAUCUUACUAAUUAGCUAUGAAGGGGGCAUUUUAUAUGUAUAUUUACAUAUAAAUUUAUAUUUAUAACACCUGAAGGAAGUUCACACAGCAGAAGGGCCAUUUUGCCUUUAUUUCUAACAGCUGAGGACCUUCAGCUGUGCCAAUUUCUCUGUUGCAGAGGCAAAGAAAGAUUGCUGGCUGGAGUUAGUUUGUUCCAGUCUACAGCUGGGAGAGGUGUUCCCAUUCAAUCCCUUCUUUUAUGCCAUUCCUUGGAUUUGCAGGCUGCCAGUCCAGCAGGUGGGUAAAUCUCUUACUAAGCUUGAAGAGUGAUGGAGACAAAAAGCCACAAGCAGUCCUGGAAAAUGGGAACUCUGCCCCUUUGUCUGCUGCGAAGCUGCAUCAGUCUGCAGGGUGCAAAAAUGCAUUGUUCAGUAAACCCAGGGAAAACCAUAAGAAGUAUGCUCUGAUCAGCAGCACAAACCACAAAGAGUGCCCAGCAGAUGCCCAAAUACUAUGUUUUCCAUCUCAUUUCGAUAUCCUUGACUCAUGCAUCCUGUCUAAGCUAAUGUUAGUUUCCUGA